Molecule: ribosomal RNA, 500 nt
Filed under: Nematostella vectensis (starlet sea anemone)
Lineage: Eukaryota; Metazoa; Cnidaria; Anthozoa; Actiniaria; Edwardsiidae
Description: Eukaryotic small subunit ribosomal RNA
Rfam family: Eukaryotic small subunit ribosomal RNA
Source: Rfam by way of RNAcentral
AAAGUUGUUGCAGUUAAAAAGCUCGUAGUUGGAUUCGGGACGGACGGUCGGUCCGCGCAAGGUGUGUCACUGGCCGGGCUGUUCUUCCUCGCAAAGACUGCGUGUGCUCUUAGCUGAGUGUGCGCAGGACUUGCGACGUUUACUUUGAAAAAAUUAGAGUGUUCAAAGCAGGCCAUCGCUUGAAUACAUAAGCAUGGAAUAAUGGAAUAGGACUUUGGUUCUAUUUUGUUGGUUUCUGGAACCGAAGUAAUGAUUAAGAGGGACAGUUGGGGGCAUUCGUAUUUCGUUGUCAGAGGUGAAAUUCUUGGAUUUACGAAAGACGAACUACUGCGAAAGCAUUUGCCAAGAAUGUUUUCAUUAAUCAAGAACGAAAGUUAGAGGAUCGAAGACGAUCAGAUACCGUCCUAGUUCUAACCAUAAACGAUGCCGACUAGGGAUCAGAGAGUGUUAUUGGAUGACCUCUUUGGCACCUUAUGGGAAACCAAAGUUUUUGGGUUCCG